Molecule: ribosomal RNA, 491 nt
Filed under: uncultured bacterium
Lineage: Bacteria
Description: partial 16S ribosomal RNA
Rfam family: Bacterial small subunit ribosomal RNA
Source: RNAcentral
AGUGAACGCUGGCGGUAGGCCUAACACAUGCAAGUCGAACGGCAGCACAGUAAGAGCUUGCUCUUACGGGUGGCGAGUGGCGGACGGGUGAGGAAUACAUCGGUAUCUACUUUUUCGUGGGGGAUAACGUAGGGAAACUUACGCUAAUACCGCAUACGACCCACGGGUGAAAGCAGGGGAUCUUCGGACCUUGCGCGAUUGAAUGAGCCGAUGUCGGAUUAGCUAGUUGGCGGGGUAAAGGCCCACCAAGGCGACGAUCCGUAGCUGGUCUGAGAGGAUGAUCAGCCACACUGGAACUGAGACACGGUCCAGACUCCUACGGGAGGCAGCAGUGGGGAAUAUUGGACAGUGGGCGCAAGCCUGAUCCAGCCAUACCGCGUGGGUGAAGAAGGCCUUCGGGUUGUAAAGCCCUUUUGUUGGGAAAGAAAAGCAGCAGGUUAAUACCCCGCUGUUCUGACGGUACCCAAAGAAUAAGCACCGGCUAACUUCGU